CAGCCAGACUCCUACGGGAGGCAGCAGUGGGGGAUAUUGCACAAUGGGGGGAACCCUGAUGCAGCGACGCCGCGUGGGUGAAGGAGCGCCUCGGCGCGUAAAGCCCUGUCAGCAGGGAAGAAAAUGACGGUACCUGAAGAAGAAGCCCCGGCUAACUACGUGCCAGCAGCCGCGGUAAUACGUAAGGGGCAAGCGUUAUCCGGAUUUACUGGGUGUAAAGGGCGUGUAGCCGGGCUGACAAGUCAGAUGUGAAAUUCCGGGGCUCAACCCCGGACCUGCAUUUGAAACUGUUGGUCUUGAGUAUCGGAGAGGCAGGCGGAAUUCCUAGUGUAGCGGUGAAAUGCGUAGAUAUCAGGAGGAACACCGGCGGCGAAGGCGGCCUGCUGGACCGUGACUGACGUUGAGGCUCGAGAGCGUGGGGAGCAAACAGGAUUAGAUACCCGAGUA
RNAcentral lists this ribosomal RNA (447 nucleotides) under uncultured bacterium. Its description in RNAcentral is "partial 16S ribosomal RNA". It matches the Rfam family "Bacterial small subunit ribosomal RNA", at positions 328 to 792 of the family's 1533-position model. The record is from RNAcentral.